RNAcentral lists this transfer RNA (72 nucleotides) under Camelus bactrianus (Bactrian camel). It matches the Rfam family "tRNA". Rfam says of the family: Transfer RNA (tRNA) molecules are approximately 80 nucleotides in length. The record is from Rfam by way of RNAcentral. RNAcentral also lists the same sequence under 2 other names. Lineage: Eukaryota; Metazoa; Chordata; Mammalia; Artiodactyla; Camelidae.
GAGGGUAUAGCUCAGUGGUAGGGUGCAUGCUUAGUGUGCACAAGGUCCUGGGUUCAAUCCCCAGUAUCUCCA